This 301-nucleotide ribosomal RNA is filed under the name uncultured bacterium. RNAcentral's name for it is "partial 16S ribosomal RNA". It matches the Rfam family "Bacterial small subunit ribosomal RNA", at positions 509 to 807 of the family's 1533-position model. The record is from RNAcentral.
CAGUCGCCGCGGUAAUACGUAGGGUGCGAGCGUUAAUCGGAAUUACUGGGCGUAAAGCGUGCGCAGGCGGUUUUGUAAGACAGGCGCGAAAUCCCCGGGCUCAACCUGGGAAUGGCGCUUGUGACUGCAAAGCUAGAGUGCGGCAGAGGGGGAUGGAAUUCCGCGUGUAGCAGUGAAAUGCGUAGAUAUGCGGAGGAACACCGAUGGCGAAGGCAAUCCCCUGGGCCUGCACUGACGCUCAUGCACGAAAGCGUGGGGAGCAAACAGGAUUAGAUACCCCCGUAGUCCCUGUCUCUUAUAC